Molecule: long non-coding RNA, 919 nt
Filed under: Numida meleagris (helmeted guineafowl)
Lineage: Eukaryota; Metazoa; Chordata; Aves; Galliformes; Numididae
Description: lncRNA (ENSNMEG00000018684.1)
Source: RNAcentral
CAAAUCUCUGUCAAACUAAGCCCGUUUCCUUAGUAACUAUCUCACUCUCCCACCUAUGUACAAGGACAAUUACUUCUUUCUGCUGAGCGAUGAUGGUGAAGCCAAAAGAGAAGGAAUAAGGCUCUGGACAGAUGGAAGAAAAUCAGAAACAGAACCAGAACAAGUUGCACUGGGACCAAUAUGUACAAAGAAGCAAGCUCUACACUGAGAAGGACAGGAGGACAGACCCUGUCACACUGCUGCCACUCGUGCUGCUUUCACUGUGCUCACCCCUUCUGUCUUCGUGUCACCAUGUGGAGCAAGAGGGAAGUCUUCAUCAGUAUUCACUCUCUGGGCACACUGCAGAAUGUUUGAAGACUGCAAUUUAUCCCGUGAAACUGCACCUGAUGCUGUAUUUCUGUCUUCUCCUGAGUUAGCAGCGUAUUGUUACACAAAGACUUGUAAGAACUGUAAUCACUCACAAGAAUGAACAGUGAUGGCAAGGUUCCGUCUGGGUGAGAGAUGCUCUGGGCACAGGGUGGUGGAAACACGCUACUCUCUCACCAUGUCCCUAAGAGCCAGUUCACCUCAAAUAUUUCUCUCUCCCUGACCCCCAUGUCUCACUUGGAGAGAUUUCCCAAGGAACACUCUUCUGUUGAGCUACUGAAGGCGAUUAGGUGAGAGAUGAGUGCUGUGAGUGAGAGAGCUGACCUGGGGCAGAGGUCAUGACUGAGAUGUUGGAAGGCACGAUGGCAUGAGGGAUGGAGGAGAAAGGCCUUCCCUUCUGGUGGCCAGGGACUGUCAGAGCAGACUGGCUGCAUCAUUGGUCUAUGUCCUUAUCAGCAGUCUAUUACUUCUGCAGUUAGCUGAAAUGUUGGAGAAGUCUGUGGCCCAAUUACUUAGCAACAGCAAAUGUCAUUUACGAGGUAUUUGUAAAUAA